UGGCCUAGCCAGCCAAAGAUACAGCCAACACUGCAAGAGAAUUAUCCCUUGCAUUUGCACUGACUUUGAGGAUGGAUAUUCAGAUCCCAAUGUUUAUACUUCCAACGAAGAGAUUUCUUGGAACUUCAAAAGACUUCUGAACCACAUUACUUUUACUUUGUACGAUUCACAAGCUAGAGUUUGAAGAUAUUUCAGUCUGUUUUUAAAUAGAAGUAAAAUUUAGUAUAUCUGUUCUUAAUUAUAAGGUUUUUUUUGAAAAAAUAACGGAA
RNAcentral lists this long non-coding RNA (269 nucleotides) under Medicago truncatula (barrel medic). RNAcentral's name for it is "long non-coding RNA (MTRU_LNC005642)". The record is from RNAcentral. Lineage: Eukaryota; Viridiplantae; Streptophyta; Magnoliopsida; Fabales; Fabaceae.